UACGGGGGGGGCAAGCGUUGUUCGGAAUUACGGGGCGUAAAGGGCUCGUAGGCGGCCAACUAAGUCGGACGUGAAAUCCCUCGGCUUAACCGGGGAACUGCGUCCGAUACUGGAUGGCUUGAGUUUGGGAGAGGGAUGCGGAAUUCCAGGUGUAGCGGUGAAAUGCGCAGAUAUCGGGAGGAACACCGGUGGCGAAGGCGGUUCUCUGGGCCUUACCUGACGCUGAGGAGCGAAAGCGUGGGGAGCGAACAGG
Molecule: ribosomal RNA, 253 nt
Filed under: uncultured bacterium
Lineage: Bacteria
Description: partial 16S ribosomal RNA
Rfam family: Bacterial small subunit ribosomal RNA
Source: RNAcentral